This 546-nucleotide ribosomal RNA is filed under the name Haloarcula sp. AJ125. RNAcentral's name for it is "bacterial SSU rRNA". It matches the Rfam family "Archaeal small subunit ribosomal RNA", at positions 322 to 867 of the family's 1478-position model. The record is from RNAcentral. Lineage: Archaea; Methanobacteriati; Methanobacteriota; Halobacteria; Halobacteriales; Haloarculaceae.
UUUACGGGGUGCAGCAGGCGCGAAACCUUUACACUGCACGACAGUGCGAUAGGGGGACUCCGAGUGUGAGGGCAUAUAGCCCUCGCUUUUCUGCACCGUAAGGUGGUNCAAGAAUAAGGACUGGGCAAGACCGGUGCCAGCCGCCGCGGUAAUACCGGCAGUCCAAGUGAUGGCCGAUAUUAUUGGGCCUAAAGCGUCCGUAGCUUGCUGUGUAAGUCCAUUGGGAAAUCGACCAGCUCAACUGGUCGGCGUCCGGUGGAAACUACACAGCUUGGGGCCGAGAGACUCAACGGGUACGUCUGGGGUAGGAGUGAAAUCCUGUAAUCCUGGACGGACCACCAAUGGGGAAACCACGUUGAGAGACCGGACCCGACAGUGAGGGACGAAAGCCAGGGUCUCGAACCGGAUUAGAUACCCGGGUAGUCCUGGCUGUAAACAAUGCUCGCUAGGUAUGUCACGCGCCAUGAGCACGUGAUGUGCCGUAGUGAAGACGAUAAGCGAGCCGCCUGGGAAGUACGUCCGCAAGGAUGAAACUUAAAGGAAUUG